Molecule: ribosomal RNA, 321 nt
Filed under: Triticum aestivum (bread wheat)
Lineage: Eukaryota; Viridiplantae; Streptophyta; Magnoliopsida; Poales; Poaceae
Description: partial small subunit ribosomal RNA
Source: RNAcentral
AUGACUUCCUGCUGUCCGAGAGGGGAUGCCGCCGUCGCCGCCGCCCACCACCCCCACCCCGGCGACUCAGGUGCGUCCCUCCACUCCAUCUCCUCCUCCUCACAUCCCUCCCUCACUUCCUCACCUCGUGUUCUAUCCCUCCCAGAUCCAGGAUGCCAUGGGCGGGAUGGCCUCUUCCUCCCCUGCGUCGGCGUGUGGUAGCAUGACCGGGUCGAGAUCAUCGCCAACGACCAGGGCAACCGCACCAUGCCCUCCUACGUCGCCUUCACCAACACCGAGCGCCUAAUUGGCGCCGCCGCCAAGAACUACGUUGUCUGUUAG